GCAUGUCUAAGUAUAAGCGACUAUACUGUGAAACUGCGAAUGGCUCAUUAAAUCAGUUAUGGUUUAUUUGAUGGUACCUACUACUUGGAUAACCGUAGUAAUUCUAGAGCUAAUACAUGCAGGAAGACCCGACUUCGGAAGGGUUGUAUUUAUUAGAUAAGAAACCAGUCCAGCUUGCUGGUUGCGUGCCGAGUCACAAUAACUGCUCGAAUCGCAUGACUUUACGUCGGCGAUGGUUCAUUCAAAUUUCUGCCCUAUCAGCUUUCGAUGGUAGGAUCGAGGCCUACCAUGGCGUUUACGGGUAACGGAGAAUUAGGGUUCGAUUCCGGGGAGGGAGCCUGAGAAAUGGCUACCACAUCCAAGGAAGGCAGCAGGCGCGUAAAUUGCCCGAAUCCUGACACAGGGAGGUAGUGACAAGAAAUAACGAUACAGGGCUACAUCUAGUCUUGUAAUUGGAAUGAGUACAAUUUACAUCUCUUAACGAUGAUCAAUUGGAGGGCAAGUCUGGUGCCAGCAGCCGCGGUAAUUCCAGCUCCAAUAGCGUAUAUUAAAGUUGUUGCAGUUAGAACGCUCGUAGUCGGAUUUCGGGGCGUUCCGACCGGUCUGCCGAUGGGUAUGCACUGGCCGGAGUGUCCUUUUUGCCGGAGACCUAUCCUACUCUUAACUGAGCGGGGUGGGGAGACGGCACUUUUACUUUGAAAAAAUCAGAGUGUUUCAAGCAGGCAGCUCGCUCUUGCAUGGAUUAGCAUGGGAUAAUGAAAUAGGACUUUGAUGCUAUUUUGUUGGUUUCGAACACCGAAGUAAUGAUGA
RNAcentral lists this ribosomal RNA (810 nucleotides) under uncultured marine Prymnesiales. RNAcentral's name for it is "SSU rRNA". It matches the Rfam family "Eukaryotic small subunit ribosomal RNA", at positions 53 to 871 of the family's 1831-position model. The record is from RNAcentral. Lineage: Eukaryota; Haptophyta; Prymnesiales.